GUAGGGUGCGAGCGUUAAUCGGAAUUACUGGGCGUAAAGCGUGCGCAGGCGGUUGUGCAAGACAGAUGUGAAAUCCCCGGGCUCAACCUGGGAAUUGCAUUUGUGACUGCACGGCUAGAGUGUGUCAGAGGGGGGUAGAAUUCCACGUGUAGCAGUGAAAUGCGUAGAGAUGUGGAGGAAUACCGAUGGCGAAGGCAGCCCCCUGGGAUAACACUGACGCUCAUGCACGAAAGCGUGGGGAGCAAACAGGAUUAGAUACCCUGGUAGUCCCACGCCCUAAACGAUGUCAACUAGUUGUCGGGUCUUAAUUGACUUGGUAACGCAGCUAACGCGUGAAGUUGACCGCCUGGGGAGUACGGUCGCAAGAUUA
RNAcentral lists this ribosomal RNA (370 nucleotides) under uncultured organism. Its description in RNAcentral is "partial 16S ribosomal RNA". It matches the Rfam family "Bacterial small subunit ribosomal RNA", at positions 527 to 896 of the family's 1533-position model. The record is from RNAcentral.